GUUUUAUUGCUCUGCAGGUCUCCACCCUGGCAGGAAGCUCUUGCCACCGGCUACAGUCUGGAUCCAGCCUGGCCAGUUCCACCUUUCCCACCUACAACACCUGGCAAGACCAAGACACAGCCCUUCCACAAAUACAUGAGUACAUGAGCACGUGGGGUGGACAAGCCAUCCAAUCAGUCCUCACUGACUCUGAGCUGGGACACCUGCCUUCUGCCCUUAAACAUCAGAACUCCAGGGUCUCUCGCCUUUUGACUCUGGGAUUUGUACCAGCAGCCCCCCAGUGUUCUCAGGCCUUCAGCCUGGGACUGAAAGUCUUGGAUUGGGCAAUGCUACCAGCUUCCUGGUUCUCCAGCUUGUAGAUGGCUUAUCCUAGGACUUCUCAGCCUCCAUAAUCCCAUGAGUCAAUUUCCCUAAUAAGUCCCCUCUCAUCUCUCUCUGUAUAUAUCCUAUUUGUUCUGUUCUUGGGAGAACCCUGACUAAUACACUGUGUAACAUCAGGCCAAUCCCUUUACUUCUCUGUGAGUCUCUG
RNAcentral lists this long non-coding RNA (529 nucleotides) under Homo sapiens (human). Its description in RNAcentral is "HSALNT0232820". The record is from RNAcentral. Lineage: Eukaryota; Metazoa; Chordata; Mammalia; Primates; Hominidae.